This 253-nucleotide ribosomal RNA is filed under the name uncultured bacterium. Its description in RNAcentral is "partial 16S ribosomal RNA". It matches the Rfam family "Bacterial small subunit ribosomal RNA", at positions 524 to 776 of the family's 1533-position model. The record is from RNAcentral.
UACGUAGGGGGCAAGCGUUGUCCGGAAUCAUUGGGCGUAAAGCGCGCGUAGGCGGCCCGGUAAGUCCGUUGUGAAAGUCAAAGGCUCAACCUUUGAACGCCGAUGGAUACUGCCGGGCUAGAGUCCGGAAGAGGCGAGUGGAAUUCCUGGUGUAGCGGUGGAAUGCGCAGAUAUCAGGAGGAACACCAAUAGCGAAGGCAGCUCGCUGGGACGGUACUGACGCUGAGGCACGAAGGUCAGGGGAGCAAACGGG